This 429-nucleotide ribosomal RNA is filed under the name Acidobacteriota bacterium. RNAcentral's name for it is "Acidobacteria bacterium partial 16S ribosomal RNA". It matches the Rfam family "Bacterial small subunit ribosomal RNA", at positions 355 to 776 of the family's 1533-position model. The record is from RNAcentral. Lineage: Bacteria; Pseudomonadati; Acidobacteriota.
UGGGGAAUUUUGGACAAUGGGGGAAACCCUGAUCCAGCCAUCCCGCGUGUGCGAUGAAGGCCUUCGGGUUGUAACGCACUUUUGGCAGGAAAGAAACGUCAUGGGUUAAUACCCCGUGAAACUGACGGUACCUGCAGAAUAAGCACCGGCUAACUACGUGCCAGCAGCCGCGGUAAUACGUAGGGUGCAAGCGUUAAUCGGAAUUACUGGGCGUAAAGCAUGCGCAGGCGGUUCGGAAAGAAAGAUGUGAAAUCCCAGAGCUCAACUUUGGAACUGCAUUUUUAACUACCGGGCUAGAGAGUGUCAGAGGGAGGUGGAAUUCCGCAUGGAGCAGUGAAAUGCGUAGAUAUGCGGAGGAACACCGAUAGCGAAGGCAGCCUCCUGGGAUAACACUGACGCUCAUGCACGAAAGCGUGGGGAGCAAACAGG